AUGACUGAUUGAUUAGAUGUUUUUCGUUACUGUUAAACAUGUUAUGCUUGCCAAUAUCUGUGGUUCCUCUGCGUUUUGGGAAUAUUUACUACCUUGUGAGUUGGUUUCUAUUUCUUUGCUCUCUUUCUUAGUGUAGCCAGCAUGUUCUGUACUAUGUUACAGAGUCUUUCGUUAUCGUCAGAAAGAAAACCGUUGCUACAUUUCCCAAGAAUCAUAUUAUCUCUUUCAACCGAUGCCUUCGCCUUGUUGGAUAUAUACUUUUGCAAGCUCAGUCACAGGUCGGUGAAAGUUAUGCAUAUGCUAGGCAUGGGUUUAUAGGGUAUCAGUUAUAACAGGUAAUCUUAGUACAUCAAAGGUUCAGUAGUAACUUAGAAUGUUUAAGGUUGCAGGAGAUGCGUGUGAAAUUGGACCCACCCUGCAGUAUGUAAGAGGCUGUCCUCUACGAUCGUGGAGCAAACUGGGUGGGAGAUAUUAUUUUUUUAAAUAGCUAUAAUUGAAGCUUGAAUGAAAGCUGUUUCUGCAGCAAUUCCUGCAGGAAACUCUGUUGAUUAGACUGAGAAAACAGAGCCAAAGCUUAGAUGGCAAGGAGGUGUAAAGUCCCGAUCUGAAAAUUCAGUUGACAUGACUCUCUCACGGUAACAAUCUCUUUUUCUAAGAUUUAACCACCAUAUUGCUUCUUUGAUUGGGUUCUUGAUGCUAUCCAAAUAAACCCGAUACCAGAACCAACCGGGUUAUGAGUUUGGAGUGAGAGUAUGAAUGUGUUAUGAAUUAUGGGAUUGGUAUGUGUUGUUUACCUUGGAUUGGUUCCUGUCAUCAUUUAUGAGAGGGUGUGUAAUGAAUUAUGGGAUUGGUAUGUGUUGUUUUCUUUGGUGUUAUGUAUGCUGCAAAAGUAGAGGCACACAAAGUAGGAUGGUACAUCAAGAACAAUGCCCACCAUUGGAAAACUUUGAUUAAUGAGUUCACAUGGUUCUCUCCUGUAGAUAAAACAAGGACAUACCUUGUUUCAACCUUAAUGAUCACUCUUAGUUUUUUUGUGGCUACCAAACAAAACCUCUUUUAAUAUUUCAGUGUCUCCUCAUCAGACCCUACCACCAUUUUGAGCACGCGGCGUAGUAGUUUUUUGACCAACAAAAAGGGAACUGGAACAGCCCCAGUUUUAUGAUUAGCAAAAGAGAGUGUGAUUAGCAAACUGAUAAAUCAAACACUGUAAAAGAUAAAGGAGUGAUAUUUGAGUUGAGAGGUGGUGAUGGAACAUUGUAGCAGUGAAUCUCCUUUUACAUCUGAGAGUGGCAGAGGGUUGAAAGGGGUCUGGUCUGGUCAUCUCUUUGUUACCAUAUUUGAGGUGAAUUAUUGUUGUACUAGAGUUUCUUAUUUCUGCCCUAAAUUUUGCAAGUCAA
Camelina sativa (false flax) is the source of this 1397-nucleotide non-coding RNA. The record is from RefSeq and is a predicted model, not a curated record. Lineage: Eukaryota; Viridiplantae; Streptophyta; Magnoliopsida; Brassicales; Brassicaceae.